This is a long non-coding RNA of Ostrea edulis (European flat oyster), 349 nucleotides long. RefSeq lists it as uncharacterized. The record is from RefSeq and is a predicted model, not a curated record. The transcript is spliced from 4 exons. Lineage: Eukaryota; Metazoa; Mollusca; Bivalvia; Ostreida; Ostreidae.
AUUUUCUACCGGAUAUGGAUGUGCUUUAAGGAAUUCCAGUGUUAAUUGUACUUUCUGGGGACUUUGAGUGAUUCACCACCCUUUGAACAAAUGUAUUUUGAGAUCCUCAAAGGAAUCCUAGAUUUGUCAAGAAGCCAUGUUUUAAUUGCUGCCCAUCAAAUAGUACUGUGUCUUCCAUGUGUAAAUUAGAUUCAUUUUGAGGAAAUAGCUGGUGUGCAGUGCACAUUCCUAAAUGAAUUCAUCAGUUUACAUUAAGGAUCUACCUUCAAAUCCUGUAAUCUGGGAUGCUCUAAAGUGCAUGUCACAGACUAAAGUUAUAAAAAUAACUUCCAACAAUUUUUAAGAAAUU